AGGUGAUUGCCAUGGCCUGCCGGGAGAUAGAGAUGGGGAAGAAAAAGUGCGAACGCUACUGGCCGCUGGAGCAAGAACCGCUGCAAAUGGGACCCUUCUCCAUCGUCCAGAUCAAGGAGCAGGAGCUGAACCCCGACGUCCUACUCCGCACACUGAGUGUCACUUUCCAGCAGG
Pelodiscus sinensis (Chinese soft-shelled turtle) is the source of this 174-nucleotide non-coding RNA. The record is from RefSeq and is a predicted model, not a curated record. Lineage: Eukaryota; Metazoa; Chordata; Testudines; Trionychidae.